This 622-nucleotide ribosomal RNA is filed under the name uncultured archaeon. RNAcentral describes it as "bacterial SSU rRNA". It matches the Rfam family "Archaeal small subunit ribosomal RNA", at positions 147 to 774 of the family's 1478-position model. The record is from RNAcentral.
UAAUACCCUAUAGGUUACGGGUGCUGGAAUGCCCUGUAACCGAAAGUUCCGACGCCUUAGGAUGGAUCUGCGGCCGAUUAGGUUGUUGUCGGGGUAAUGGCCCAACAAGCCAGUGAUCGGUACGGGUUGUGGGAGCAAGAGCCCGGAGUUGGAUUCUGAGACACGAAUCCAGGCCCUACGGGGCGCAGCAGGCGCGAAAACUUUACAAUGCGGGCAACCGUGAUAAGGGAACCUCGAGUGCCUGUGUAUGCAGGCUGUCCAGGUGUCUAAAGCACACCUGAAGAAAGGGCCGGGCAAGACCGGUGCCAGCCGCCGCGGUAAUACCGGCGGCUCGAGUGGUGGCCACUUUUAUUGGGCUUAAAGCGUUCGUAGCUGGGUUGUUAAGUCUCUUGGGAAAUCCGACGGCUCAACCGUCGGGCGUCUAAGGGAUACUGGCAUUCUUGGAACCGGGAGAGGUGAGGGGUACUUCGGGGGUAAGAGUGAAAUCCUGUAAUCCUCGAGGGACCACCUGUGGCGAAGGCGCCUCACCAGAACGGCUUCGACAGUGAGGGACGAAGUCUGGGGGAACAAACCGGAUUAAAUACCCGGGUAGUCCCAGCCGUAAACAAUGCUCGUUUAGUGU